CACGUGAGCAACCUGCCCCUGACUCUGGGAUAAGCGCUGGAAACGGCGUCUAAUACUGGAUAUGUGACGUGACCGCAUGGUCUGCGUUUGGAAAGAUUUUUCGGUUGGGGAUGGGCUCGCGGCCUAUCAGCUUGUUGGUGAGGUAAUGGCUCACCAAGGCGUCGACGGGUAGCCGGCCUGAGAGGGUGACCGGCCACACUGGGACUGAGACACGGCCCAGACUCCUACGGGAGGCAGCAGUGGGGAAUAUUGCACAAUGGGCGAAAGCCUGAUGCAGCAACGCCGCGUGAGGGAUGACGGCCUUCGGGUUGUAAACCUCUUUUAGCAGGGAAGAAGCGAAAGUGACGGUACCUGCAGAAAAAGCGCCGGCUAACUACGUGCCAGCAGCCGCGGUAAUACGUAGGGCGCAAGCGUUAUCCGGAAUUAUUGGGCGUAAAGAGCUCGUAGGCGGUUUGUCGCGUCUGCUGUGAAAUCCCGAGGCUCAACCUCGGGCCUGCAGUGGGUACGGGCAGACUAGAGUGCGGUAGGGGAGAUUGGAAUUCCUGGUGUAGCGGUGGAAUGCGCAGAUAUCAGGAGGAACACCGAUGGCGAAGGCAGAUCUCUGGGCCGUAACUGACGCUGAGGAGCGAAAGGGUGGGGAGCAAACAGGCUUAGAUACCCUGGUAGUCCACCCCGUAAACGUUGGGAACUAGUUGUGGGGUCCAUUCCACGGAUUCCGUGACGCAGCUAACGCAUUAAGUUCCCCGCCUGGGGAGUACGGCCGCAAGGCUAAAACUCAAAGGAAUUGACGGGGACCCGCACAAGCGGCGGAGCAUGCGGAUUAAUUCGAUGCAACGCGAAGAACCUUACCAAGGCUUGACAUAUACGAGAACGGGCCAGAAAUGGUCAACUCUUUGGACACUCGUAAACAGGUGGUGCAUGGUUGUCGUCAGCUCGUGUCGUGAGAUGUUGGGUUAAGUCCCGCAACGAGCGCAACCCUCGUUUUAUGUUGCCAGCACGUAAUGGUGGGAACUCAUGGGAUACUGCCGGGGUCAACUCGGAGGAAGGUGGGGAUGACGUCAAAUCAUCAUGCCCCUUAUGUCUUGGGCUUCACGCAUGCUACAAUGGCCGGUACAAAGGGCUGCAAUACCGUGAGGUGGAGCGAAUCCCAAAAAGCCGGUCCCAGUUCGGA
This 1171-nucleotide ribosomal RNA is filed under the name Microbacterium sp. C2-25c-10. RNAcentral's name for it is "bacterial SSU rRNA". It matches the Rfam family "Bacterial small subunit ribosomal RNA", at positions 114 to 1297 of the family's 1533-position model. The record is from RNAcentral. Lineage: Bacteria; Bacillati; Actinomycetota; Actinomycetes; Micrococcales; Microbacteriaceae.